AGGGGUUUGGAUCAUGGCUCAGGACGAACGUUGGCGGUGCGCUUAAUGCAUGCAAGUCGAGGGAGAACCAUUUGAUUCGUAAGAUUCGAAUGGGGAAACCGGCGAACGGGUGCGUAACACGUGAGGAACCUGCCCUGAAGAUCGGGAUAGCCCGGGGAAACCCGGAUUAAUACCGAAUAUCCUCUCCGGACCGCAUGGUCUGGUGAGGAAAUGGUCCGCCGCUUCAGGAUGGCCUCGCGGCCUAUCAGCUAGUUGGUGAGGUAACGGCUCACCAAGGCUACGACGGGUAGCUGGUCUGAGAGGACGAUCAGCCACACUGGGACUGAGACACGGCCCAGACUCCUACGGGAGGCAGCAGCAGGGAAUAUUGCACAAUGGGCGAAAGCCUGAUGCAGCGACACCGCGUGCGGGAUGAAGGCCUUCGGGUUGUAAACCGCUUUCAGGAGGGACGAAAAUGACGGUACCUCCAGAAGAAGGCCCGGCCAACUACGUGCCAGCAGCCGCGGUAACACGUAGGGGCCAAACGUUGUCCGGAUUUAUUGGGCGUAAAGGGCUCGUAGGCGGUUCAACAAGUCGAUCGUGAAAACCCGGGGCUCAACCCCGGGACGCCGGUCGAAACUGUUGUGACUAGGGUCCGGUAGAGGUGAGUGGAAUUCUCGGUGUAGCGGUGGAAUGCGCAGAUAUCGAGAGGAACACCAGUUGCGAANGCGGCUCACUGGGCCGGUACCGACGCUAAGGAGCGAAAGCAUGGGGAGC
Molecule: ribosomal RNA, 756 nt
Filed under: uncultured bacterium
Lineage: Bacteria
Description: bacterial SSU rRNA
Rfam family: Bacterial small subunit ribosomal RNA
Source: RNAcentral